GAUGAACGCUAGCGGCAGGCUUAACACAUGCAAGUCGAGGGGCAGCACGGGUAGCAAUACCUGGUGGCGACCGGCGCAAGGGUGCGUAACGCGUGAGCAACAUGCCCUAUACAGGGGGAUAAUCCAGGGAAACUUGGUCUAAUAUCCCAUAGUAUUUAGAGGAGGCAUCUUCUAUAAAUUAAAGCUUCGGUGGUAUAGGAUUGGCUCGCGUGACAUUAGCUAGAUGGUGAGGUAACGGCUCACCAUGGCAAUGAUGUCUAGGGGUUCUGAGAGGAAGGCCCCCCACACUGGGACUGAGACACGGCCCAGACUCCUACGGGAGGCAGCAGUGAGGAAUAUUGGACAAUGGAUGGAAAUCUGAUCCAGCCAUGCCGCGUGCAGGAUGAAGGUCCUUGGGUUGUAAACGUGUCUUUUGGUACGGUAACGAAACGGCGAGCUCUAAUACAGUUUGCUAAUGACGGUACCGUAAGAAUAAGCACCGGCUAACCUACGUACG
Molecule: ribosomal RNA, 496 nt
Filed under: uncultured bacterium
Lineage: Bacteria
Description: bacterial SSU rRNA
Rfam family: Bacterial small subunit ribosomal RNA
Source: RNAcentral